RNAcentral lists this ribosomal RNA (484 nucleotides) under uncultured bacterium. RNAcentral describes it as "partial 16S ribosomal RNA". It matches the Rfam family "Bacterial small subunit ribosomal RNA", at positions 29 to 507 of the family's 1533-position model. The record is from RNAcentral.
AUUGAACGCUAGCGGGAUGCUUUACACAUGCAAGUCGAACGGCAGCGCGGACUUCGGUCUGGCGGCGAGUGGCGAACGGGUGAGUAAUGUAUCGGAACGUGCCCAGUAGCGGGGGAUAACUACGCGAAAGCGUAGCUAAUACCGCAUACGCCCUACGGGGGAAAGCAGGGGAUCGUAAGACCUUGCACUAUUGGAGCGGCCGAUAUCGGAUUAGCUAGUUGGUGAGGUAACGGCUCACCAAGGCGACGAUCCGUAGCUGGUUUGAGAGGACGACCAGCCACACUGGGACUGAGAAACGGCCCAGACUCCUACGGGAGGCAGCAGUGGGGAAUUUUGGACAAUGGGGGAAACCCUGAUCCAGCAAGCCCGCGUGUGCGAUGAAGGCCUUCGGGUUGUAAAGCACUUUUGGCAGGAAAGAAACGGCGCGGGCUAAUACCCCGUGGAAAUGACGGUACCUGCAGAAUAAGCACCGGCUAACUACGUG